AUUGAACGCUGGCGGCAUGCUUUACACAUGCAAGUCGAACGGUAACAGGCCGCAAGGUGCUGACGAGUGGCGAACGGGUGAGUAAUGCAUCGGAACGUGCCCAGUCGUGGGGGAUAACGCAGCGAAAGCUGUGCUAAUACCGCAUACGAUCUAUGGAUGAAAGCGGGGGAACGUAAGGCCUCGCGCGAUUGGAGCGGCCGACGAAAGAUUAGCUAGUUGGUGGGGUAACGGCCCACCAAGGCGACGAUCUGUAGCUGGUCUGAGAGGACGACCAGCCACACUGGGACUGAGACACGGCCCAGACUCCUACGGGAGGCAGCAGUGGGGAAUUUUGGACAAUGGGCGCAAGCCUGAUCCAGCAAUGCCGCGUGCAGGAAGAAGGCCUUCGGGUUGUAAACUGCUUUUGUACGGAACGAAACGGCAUGGGUUAAUACCCUGGGCUAAUGACGGUACCGUAAGAAUAAGCACCGGCUAACUACGUGCCAGCAGCCGCCGCAG
This 498-nucleotide ribosomal RNA is filed under the name uncultured bacterium. RNAcentral describes it as "partial 16S ribosomal RNA". It matches the Rfam family "Bacterial small subunit ribosomal RNA", at positions 29 to 523 of the family's 1533-position model. The record is from RNAcentral.